Molecule: ribosomal RNA, 250 nt
Filed under: uncultured bacterium
Lineage: Bacteria
Description: partial 16S ribosomal RNA
Rfam family: Bacterial small subunit ribosomal RNA
Source: RNAcentral
UUGGAUGAGUGGCGAACGGGUGAGUAACACGUGAGUAACCUGCCCUCUUCUUUGGGAUAACGCCCGGAAACGGGUGCUAAUACUGGAUAUUCACUUGCCUUCGCAUGGGGGUGGGUGGAAAGGGUUUUUUCUGGUGGGGGAUGGGCUCGCGGCCUAUCAGCUUGUUGGUGGGGUGAUGGCCUACCAAGGCUUUGACGGGUAGCCGGCCUGAGAGGGUGACCGGUCACAUUGGGACUGAGAUACGGCCCAG